Molecule: long non-coding RNA, 184 nt
Filed under: Chinchilla lanigera (long-tailed chinchilla)
Lineage: Eukaryota; Metazoa; Chordata; Mammalia; Rodentia; Chinchillidae
Description: lncRNA (ENSCLAG00000022924.1)
Source: RNAcentral
GACUUAUUCCUGCUUCUCCAUCUAAGUGAGCAAACUGAUCACAGGGGGUGAACAGGCCCUUGCCGGAGAAAAAGUGAAGAACACAGACUUUCAACUCGACAUAGCAGCUGUGCUAGACAACAACAGGAAGCCAGAAGAAGCUCACGAUGUGGGUGUGAUAACUUGUUACUCAAAUAAACUUUCA